This 423-nucleotide ribosomal RNA is filed under the name uncultured bacterium. RNAcentral describes it as "bacterial SSU rRNA". It matches the Rfam family "Bacterial small subunit ribosomal RNA", at positions 355 to 775 of the family's 1533-position model. The record is from RNAcentral.
UAAGGAAUAUUGGACAAUGGGGGCAACCCUGAUCCAGCCAUGCCGCGUGAAGGAUGAAGGCGCUAUGCGUUGUAAACUUCUUUUGAACGGGAGAAAACCCACUUACGUGUAAGUGGCUGAUAGUACCGUUAGAAUAAGGAUCGGCUAACUCCGUGCCAGCAGCCGCGGUAAUACGGAGGAUCCAAGCGUUAUCCGGAUUCAUUGGGUUUAAAGGGUGCGUAGGCGGACUGAUAAGUCAGCGGUGAAAUCUCUCGGCUUAACCGAGAAACUGCCGUUGAUACUGUCAGUCUUGAGUACAGAUGAUGUGGGCGGAAUAUGACAUGUAGUGGUGAAAUACUUAGAUAUGUCAUAGAACACCGAUUGCGAAGGCAGCUCACAAAACUGUCACUGACGCUGAGGCACGAAAGCGUGGGGAUCAAACAG